CCUACGGGAGGCAGCAGUGAGGAAUAUUGGUCAAUGGGCGAGAGCCUGAACCAGCCAAGUCGCGUGAAGGAUGACGGCCCUACGGGUUGUAAACUUCUUUUGUCAGGGAGCAAUUGGGUCCACGCGUGGGCUUAGCGAGAGUACCUGAAGAAAAAGCAUCGGCUAACUCCGUGCCAGCAGCCGCGGUAAUACGGAGGAUGCGAGCGUUAUCCGGAUUUAUUGGGUUUAAAGGGUGCGUAGACGGGAAGGCAAGUUGGUUGUGAAAUCCCUCGGCUUAACUGAGGAACUGCAACCAAAACUAUCUUUCUUGAGUGCUGGAGAGGAAAGUGGAAUUCCUAGUGUAGCGGUGAAAUGCGUAGAUAUUAGGAGGAACACCAGUGGCGAAGGCGACUUUCUGGACAGUAACUGACGUUGAGGCACGAAAGUGUGGGGAGCAAACAGGAUUAGAUACCCCAGUAGUC
This 461-nucleotide ribosomal RNA is filed under the name uncultured bacterium. RNAcentral describes it as "partial 16S ribosomal RNA". It matches the Rfam family "Bacterial small subunit ribosomal RNA", at positions 338 to 795 of the family's 1533-position model. The record is from RNAcentral.